This 380-nucleotide ribosomal RNA is filed under the name Nostoc sp. CCMEE 6110. RNAcentral's name for it is "bacterial SSU rRNA". It matches the Rfam family "Bacterial small subunit ribosomal RNA", at positions 376 to 770 of the family's 1533-position model. RNAcentral also lists the same sequence under 1 other name. Lineage: Bacteria; Bacillati; Cyanobacteriota; Cyanophyceae; Nostocales; Nostocaceae. The record is from RNAcentral.
CGAAAGCCUGACGGAGCAAUACCGCGUGAGGGAGGAAGGCUCUUGGGUUGUAAACCUCUUUUCUCAGGGAAGAAAAAAAUGACGGUACCUGAGGAAUAAGCAUCGGCUAACUCCGUGCCAGCAGCCGCGGUAAUACGGAGGAUGCAAGCGUUAUCCGGAAUGAUUGGGCGUAAAGCGUCCGCAGGUGGCUGUGUAAGUCUGCUGUUAAAGAAUGAGGCUCAACCUCAUCAGAGCGGUGGAAACUACAUGGCUAGAGUGCGUUCGGGGUAGAGGGAAUUCCUGGUGUAGCGGUGAAAUGCGUAGAUAUCAGGAAGAACACCGGUGGCGAAAGCGCUCUACUAGGCCGCAACUGACACUGAGGGACGAAAGCUAGGGGAGCG